RNAcentral lists this ribosomal RNA (292 nucleotides) under uncultured bacterium. RNAcentral describes it as "partial 16S ribosomal RNA". It matches the Rfam family "Bacterial small subunit ribosomal RNA", at positions 505 to 796 of the family's 1533-position model. The record is from RNAcentral.
GUGCCAGCCGCCGCGGUAAUACAGAGGGUGCAAGCGUUAAUCGGAAUUACUGGGCGUAAAGAGCACGUAGGUGGUUGUUUAAGUUGGAUGUGAAAUCCCCGGGCUUAACCUGGGAGGGUCAUUCAAAACUGGGCGACUAGAGUACGGUAGAGGGAAGUGGAAUUUCCGGUGUAGCGGUGAAAUGCAUAGAUAUCGGAAGGAACAUCAGUGGCGAAGGCGACUUCCUGGACUGAUACUGACACUGAGGUGCGAAAGCGUGGGGAGCAAACAGGAUUAGAAACCCGCGUAGUCC